CCCUACGGGAGGCAGCAGUGAGGAAUAUUGGUCAAUGGGCGCAAGCCUGAACCAGCCAUGCCGCGUGCAGGAUGACGCAUCUAUGGUGUGUAAACUGCUUUUGUACGGGAAGAAACACCUCUAUGUAUAGAGGCUUGACGGUACCGUAAGAAUAAGGAUCGGCUAACUCCGUGCCAGCAGCCGCGGUAAUACGGAGGAUCCAAGCGUUAUCCGGAAUCAUUGGGUUUAAAGGGUCCGUAGGCGGUUUUAUAAGUCAGUGGUGAAAUCCGGCAGCUUAACUGUCGAACGGCCAUUGAUACUGUAGAACUUGAAUUAUUGUGAAGUAACUAGAAUAUGUAGUGUAGCGGUGAAAUGCUUAGAUAUUACAUGGAAUACCCAUUGCGAAGGCAGGUUACUAACAAUAUAUUGACGCUGAUGGACGAAAGCGUGGGGAGCGAACAGGAUUAGAUACCCGUGUAU
Molecule: ribosomal RNA, 459 nt
Filed under: uncultured bacterium
Lineage: Bacteria
Description: bacterial SSU rRNA
Rfam family: Bacterial small subunit ribosomal RNA
Source: RNAcentral